AAUACUAUGUUAACAUUUAAAAUUUGACAUAAAAAGCAAAGUGGUCCAAAGAAGUUUGAAACUAAAUGUUGAACACUCUACUGAGUCCAUGGACCAAACUCACUCCUUUUUAUGAAACCCCAUGUGGGUGAUGCAGGUUAUCAGGAACAAUUCUAAGUUACUACAGCUUUGUCACAAACCACCCUAAAAACUUAAGAGGUUCAAACAGUAAUCAUUUCUCUCGGAUUCUGUGGACUAGGAAUUUAGGAAAGGCUCUACUUGGCAGUUCCGACUCCAGGUAUCGGAUGUAUUUGCAUUUACAGCCGCUAGAGCUGGGCUAGCGGGAAGUUAGAACACGAGGGACUGGCCAGACGUUUCUGCUUGUAGUUUCAGGAUCGCUCUGUGUGGGCUGGUCUGGGCUUCCUCACAGAAUUGGCUUCAGGGUGACUCAAGGACUUACCAGCCUGUGUAGCUUUUGCGUGUUCCAACAGACCAGCUGUAAGCUGUGUUGCCUUUGAUCUAGCUUUGGAAGUCACAGAGCAGUCCUUUUGUCGUGUCAACCAGUCACCUCUUGAUCUGGGGAAUGUCAGACUUUAUGGAUCUUUUACAACCGCCACAUCUCCCCUCAGGAAGCCCAUCUGGUGUGAGAGAGGCAAGACCAGCCUAGAUACUGCCACCAGGAGAAUACCAAAAGAUACAAUUACCAUGGGAGAGAUGGUGAACUUUCCUUCUUGGCAAUAUCUACUACCCCUCCUGGGUGGUAUUACAGGAGUUUACAGCAGUCUCCAACUUGGAAAUAGUAUCAGGAUGCUGCUCCAACGAUCUUUCACGUCAAGGUCAGCCCACCCCCCAGUUGGGAACUGGUGGGAGCUACAGCCUGAAAGGACAGCGGAAGGAGGAGGGAAGACACACUAUAUUCAUCUACUCCGACAAGCAUCACGGGCAAAGCAAAAGCAAUGGAGAUGACUGGUCUGUGGGGAGGGGGGGUGGCACUCUCACAGGGAUGGCCGUGGCAGACACUGCUGAAGCCCAGAGCCACUACAACACUGCGACUUCAUGGCACACACAGUUAGGGGCAGUGAGAAAGGUUUACUUAACUGUUCUAGGCUGUAGCAAGGAUGGUUUAUGUUUGUGCUUAAAGGUGAAGAGAAGAAAAGAAACAAGGAGAGAAACUUUAGGUCAGAUAUAGAAAAUGAGAAUGAGCUCAAUGCAGAUGGUCAGUAAGCUAGACAUGCCCUUGCCACUCUAGCUACACUUGGGAACGUGCAGCUGGCUUUGCUGGGCCACCCUGCUGCCCAGCAAACCCAGACUCGACCUUUCCAGUCUCCAUUUCUACUCCAGAGAGAAUGUGCAAAAAAUCAAUCCAACACCACCUGUAAGUCCAGCAUUUCACAAAUCUCAUUGCAAAUGCAUCUGGGGACCCAGGGAACCCCGCUCUGUAUUCUAAAGGGAUGAACGUGUAAAGGUCACAGGCCCUAAGAGGCUCUACAGCCAUGAGCCUAUUGUCCACCCUUCUACCCUCAUCUCCCUUGUAUCAAAAGCUAGUCCUAAUUCUUAAGGAAACAGCAAUACUGCUCUGAAAACAAGAAUCCUUAAGUACUUUUCCAGAGAAGAUGUAGUUUUCUUUGGAGGAAGAAACCACAGUGGCCCACACCAGACAGCUUUGGCCAUCUGGACCUUAAAAAGCUUGGGGCCUCUUUGUGCCACACUAGGGGGAUAGGGCAUCAGAAGGUGGCCACUAAACAAUUUCCAACGUAUAAAACCAUAGAGAAACAAUUACAGAGCUCCCCCCUUACCCAAUGAGACAAUCUCCUCUGCUCUGGACUCUGCUGCCCCAAGGGAGAAGCAACCAACCCCACAUGUCGUUCUAUAGAAUUAAAUGUAGGAAAUCCUGCCUCCCUCCCCGCGCCCCCCCCCCCCAACAGCUCCCAACCACAGAGCUUCCACCUGUUCCAGGUGGGGACACGUCCCGUCCCCACCUAGGGCAGGCAGGUAGCAAGAAGUUAGGGCCCACCCCCGUCCCACAGCCUUCCCAGACAAGGUCACAAAUGACCCACAUUUUAAAAGGGAAUCUGCUUCCUUCUCUCCAAAACCCUGGAUGUGCAAAAGGGCUAUCGGAGUUAAAGGGAGUCACGAUUCUGCAAGACAAAUCGAUGGGUCAUACUCCCAACCUUAUAACUCUUAGGCAAUCCCCAGAGUGCCAAUCUGAAAUAAUUCAGAAAGCAAAGCAACUUGUGACAUAACAGGAACAUUAACUCUAAACAAAAAGUAGAAUCAAAACAAGAAAAGGAAUUAGUUUUGCAACAUACACAUAACCAAUCACGUCAGCGAAGGGUUGUUUGUAGAAAGCUUCAUCUGCCACCCUAGACAGCAAGAGGUCCAAAAGGCAGGCAAGCAGGCAGGAAAAAAGAGAGAACAUUGAGAAGCAGAAACAUCUCAAAUCCACAGUAGAGGCAUGACUGUGCUCCAGGGGGCUGCUCCCAAGGCUCCGUCCUCACCCAGCAAGGCUUCAAGUGCUGGAGACCAGCAGGCAAGGUUCUCCGCUGGCCUUCCCCAGGGGCGGGUUCUCCCAAGGGAGCCCUGCCAACUCCUUCCCCACCUUCUCCUGACAACGGCGAGCCUUUCUCAGCGCCCGCUUCCAGGUAAGCCCUUUUAGAGACUCCGAAUCCAUCCGAUCCAAUCCUCAACCCCAACGACCUAGGAGAACACUAGGACGUGGUCUCACCAACACUUUACAGAUCAGGUAACAGGAGGCCUAGAGAUGAAGCAACCUGCUCAACCCCAAACGGCAGAACUUGGAAGCAGGCCGGCCUGGCUCUCUGCACUGUGCAGUAAGGCUUCUUCCCCGCUGGCGGAUGACCGGGAAGCCACGCCGCCUUCCCGUCAGCCUCAGGGAGUCUCGCUAGGCACGAACGCUGCCAGCUGCCCGACACCAAACACGCUAGGCCCCAAAGCCACUGUCCAACUACUGCUUCUGAACCACCCUGGCUCAAUGGGAUCAGUUUUCAGUAUUCUGGAAACAGAUGAGGAAAAAGUUGCCGACACAAGUGGUCUGGCGGAAAGGACUGCAGCCCAGGGUCCUGGCUCUGGCACCGUCUUCCUGUGUGUCCCCGAAUAAGCUGGUUCGUCCGCUCAGUCCAGCCAGACUGGACUGCCACCACAAGGUGCAGUCCAGAAACCCCAACUUCACUUCCCCUCUCACUCACACCAGGAAUGGAUCAAAGUGGCAGGGCUCUAUGGGACAGAAAGGGAAGGGGGGCACGCUGGGUGGAGGAGUUUACACCCCCACAGACAGGCUGGCUUAUUUAGACUUUGUUGCCCCAGGCUGAAUCCCUGGGCCCAGCCAGCCCACCCCAUCUAUCGUGGGUGGGCAGGGAACCUCCCUGCGGAAAUCUUACCCUGUCCUUUGCCAGGCUGGUUUUGGGGCACAGGAGCGGGAGGGGCAUUUUGAAGGAAAAUCAUGCCUGUUUAUUAACCUAGGGUCACUUAUUUAUUUAAAGGGAAAUUCUAGUAAUUUUAUUUCAGUUUAUUUUUAGACUCACCACAGCCUGCCUUCUUUCCCAUUUUGGUUUAUACAUAGGAGGUGUUUUGUGGAAAUUUGAUUGUAACUCUCAGUGAGUCAGCAGGAAAACAGAGUUGUUUGUGGGCAGAAUGAGUGGGCGGGAAAGGAAAGGCCAGACAGCUUGUAAGCCCAUAAUCCUUUUAGUUUACACAAAGGGCUAAACCUAAUCAAUUUCAGUUUGUGCUUGCUCCUACUGGAAGAAAAUAAAGGUUUAGUGAUUCCAGUGGAGGCAUCACUAAGACAACAAAAGCCUGAAUGCCAGGCUUCUGUUCCUUUGCAGUUAGCCCCAAGACUAAAGAGCUUGUUAGUGACAGCAGAGCCCCAUCCGGGUCGGGUUACAGACAAGCAGGACAAAUGGAAAAUCAUCAUCUAAGUGGCCUGUUUGUUCUUCACCCACCAGACAGAAGGGUCUGAAAGCAGCAAUCCUCAUGGAAGCCUGUGGGAAAGGGGGCGGGGGGAGGGAGGAGGAAUGCCUUUGGGCCUGACCACAGGGUACUCAAGAGGUAACCCACAUCAAUAGCCCCAACGGGGCAUGGGAAAAAUGUCUGCCAACUUUUAGAAGUCUUGAAAGAGGGGAAAAGUUAGCACCAGAGACCCCUGUAAAAGGGGAAAUGUUUCUGUCAGUUUGGAAGGGAACAUGGUCUGCGGCUGGUCUGGAGUACACACUGUCCUGACUGGCUCCCGUGGAGGAGGAAUUUGUUUCCACAGGCUGUCACUAAUAAUUGAUGGCUCUUGUGCAGUGGCAUCUGCACCCUGAGUUGGGAUAAAGGCAGGGAGAUGCAAUCUGAGGACUGACACCAGUCUACAGAUGCAGUGAAGACAAGAUCUGCUGUCAUCUGCCCAGCACCACGCCUGGGCACCUAGAAGGUUUUAGUUUGGGGCACCUAGAAGUCAGGAGCCUGACGAUACACUCAAAUAUAGGCCCUUGCUACCCACUGCAUCUCUUCUUUCAAACUACUCUACCUAUCUUUGUGUUCCCCCUUAAAAAUCCAGCUGCUACAAAAGUCAUCCAGAGAGAAGGGCACAUGCUUGAAACGAACACUUCAUUUUCUCAAAAUACUCACUCUUUACCUACGAACAGAGUUCCUUUACAUAUAUAAAUGGGACUCAGUCCCACAGGAUGCUGUUUAGAGAAUCAAACACGGAGGGGGAGUGGUCAGUGUCACAAUCUCGAGGAGGGGGUGUGUGCCAUUGGAAGAAGUUCCCCACGGUGGCUCUAAACGGCUCCCAUGCUAGUCCAUGAAAACUAACUGGAGUAAAAUGUAAAAACCACCCCUUCCAUCCUGGAACCCUGGUGACAAUGGCUCAUGUGCCUCCAGUUUUACACACUCAGAGUCUGCCCUGUGCUUCGUGACCUGGUUUUGAAACAGCUACACAUUCUCCAUGAGUGGCAAGUUUAAGUCUUUUCCCCUCUCUGGAACUUGGGAAGUUCACCUAUGACAUCAUCCAACCCGACAUUCUACGAUUCUAAGAAAGGUACCAAAGCCCUAAACCGAUGCCUGGAGGGACUAAACCUUAGAGACUGAGCUCCUGAAAACAGGAGUGCUUACUCCAAGGAUAACUGACACUGUAUACAGACAACCCCUUUCUUUCCAGAAGGGCUACAGUUUAGCAAAACUGGCCUGAAAAAAUUUCCGCAAUUAGAAGCCUAUUCCCACCAUAAUAAUUUUUUAAGUCUGAGAAUCUGUAUGUCAACUUGUUUACACAUCAGGGACCCUGAACAGGGAGGGUCAGCCCGGUUUUACCAAGUACUUCAGGGCAGACGGACUCCCGGGCAACUUGCUAGAAUAAAUGGGGCCUCACAGGGUACUUGCACAAAGAACUCGCUCCUCUCCCUUUAGAGAUGUGAACUUGUAUCUGUGGUAAAUCAUCUGGAAUGAGCACAGAAUAAAGCAGCCUGGACCUGUCAGCACUUCAAAAUGACCACAAGCUCAGGAGAAGCCCUGGUAGUUAAUGCUACCCUGAGCAACUCAAUGUGAAGACCAGAAGGCAGUCCCCACCGUAUUAGAACUUCACUGGAACCUGAGAAGCAUUCCUAGAAAAUACCUCCCCACAGGAAGGGGGCCAGGACUAGGCUCCCAUUUGGCAUUUAAGACGCAGCCAACAGAACCAACUAUGGCCAACAAGAGAAAGGUAGCCGCAGCCUACCGCACACAAUGGUCCAUCUGUUCUGCUGUAGGUGCCCCACGAUGGCACAGGCUGGCUGGCAAAGCGGUCUGCUCCCUCUUUUCUGGCAGAUUUCCAGCAAGAAGCUGCCAGAGACCAAAGCACUUAAACCAACUUCUGCCUCUGAGGCAGGAACCUAAGAAGGCGCUUUACCCUGAAAAUUACAACUAUCCCCAGGCUCAGGCUAGCCUAUCUUUCCACUGAGGUAGUGAAGCGACCGUGUUAGAGCUGGGCUCGGGAUGCAGCAGGAAGGUGAGCCAAUGGCCUACAUCAAGGCCAGCAGUGCUGCCUCCACCUCUCUGAGCUACUUCCAAGCAGACUGAGCACGGAGACCACAGCUCCUGCUCGGUGGGGAGAGGAGGAGGCGCUUAGUUUCUCCCUCAACUUUAGGGAGUACAUCAUAAAGAGCACUUUCAAAAGGUCAAUCUUAGGUCAAUUUUCUCAGAUGUACGCGGAGGACCCUUCGUUCUCAAGUCACCGUGUCGGAACAUCCCUGGCUACUGAAUUACAAAGCACAUUUCCCUGCUAGCGGGCCCCUCUGCCUAGCAGCUUUCAGAGAGCGAGGCUGUAUUUAGGGGCUGCAACAUGACCAAGUCUAUAAUCCCCAAAGUACUGAGAUCCUGGUAUAUUCAUAACGCAGCCCUUCAUUUCAGGGUUACGUUUCUGCAUGUGGACUUAAUCCGUGACAUAACUUUCCCUUUUGCUGCUUCAUACCGAUACAAGCAACACAUAUUAACCAAACUCUUAGCUGAAGAGCUAAAUCCACUACAACUGGGAUGGCUAAAGGACAGGCUGGACUAAGCUCAUAAGACCCGAGAGACCUGCAACCUUUAUGUUUCAAGUACUUUUUCCAAAACCUGCAAAUACAUUUCACACUAAAAGAGGCAGCACGUGAGAACUACAUUGGCCACUGGAAAUGAAUUUGAUUCCAUCCUGGAAAGCAAGCAGUGCUGGCAGCACCGGGGACUGACCU
Lynx canadensis (Canada lynx) is the source of this 6680-nucleotide long non-coding RNA. RefSeq lists it as uncharacterized. NCBI's taxonomy places the organism in Eukaryota, Metazoa, Chordata, Mammalia, Carnivora, Felidae. The record is from RefSeq and is a predicted model, not a curated record. The transcript is spliced from 3 exons.